Molecule: ribosomal RNA, 1169 nt
Filed under: Salmonella enterica
Lineage: Bacteria; Pseudomonadati; Pseudomonadota; Gammaproteobacteria; Enterobacterales; Enterobacteriaceae
Also listed under: 2 other names
Description: bacterial LSU rRNA
Rfam family: Bacterial large subunit ribosomal RNA
Source: RNAcentral
CAAUCAAACCGGGAGAUAGCUGGUUCUCCCCGAAAGCUAUUUAGGUAGCGCCUCGUGAAUUCAUCUCCGGGGGUAGAGCACUGUUUCGGCUAGGGGGCCAUCCCGGCUUACCAACCCGAUGCAAACUGCGAAUACCGGAGAAUGUUAUCACGGGAGACACACGGCGGGUGCUAACGUCCGUCGUGAAGAGGGAAACAACCCAGACCGCCAGCUAAGGUCCCAAAGUCAUGGUUAAGUGGGAAACGAUGUGGGAAGGCCCAGACAGCCAGGAUGUUGGCUUAGAAGCAGCCAUCAUUUAAAGAAAGCGUAAUAGCUCACUGGUCGAGUCGGCCUGCGCGGAAGAUGUAACGGGGCUAAACCAUGCACCGAAGCUGCGGCAGCGAACGUAUCACCCAAGACAACUUUACGGAGUUGACGAUUGACGGAGCGAAGCGACGUCAAAGCGUUCAUUAAAGUCGAGUUGGCUUAGGGAUACGUUCGUUGGGUAGGGGAGCGUUCUGUAAGCCUGUGAAGGUGUGUCGUGAGGCAUGCUGGAGGUAUCAGAAGUGCGAAUGCUGACAUAAGUAACGAUAAAGCGGGUGAAAAGCCCGCUCGCCGGAAGACCAAGGGUUCCUGUCCAACGUUAAUCGGGGCAGGGUGAGUCGACCCCUAAGGCGAGGCCGAAAGGCGUAGUCGAUGGGAAACGGGUUAAUAUUCCCGUACUUGGUGUUACUGCGAAGGGGGGACGGAGAAGGCUAUGUUGGCCGGGCGACGGUUGUCCCGGUUUAAGCGUGUAGGUGUGUGUUCCAGGUAAAUCCGGUUCACUUUAACACUGAGGCGUGACGACGAGGCACUACGGUGCUGAAGCAACAAAUGCCCUGCUUCCAGGAAAAGCCUCUAAGCAUCAGGUAACACGAAAUCGUACCCCAAACCGACACAGGUGGUCAGGUAGAGAAUACCAAGGCGCUUGAGAGAACUCGGGUGAAGGAACUAGGCAAAAUGGUGCCGUAACUUCGGGAGAAGGCACGCUGACACGUAGGUGAAGUGAUUUACUCAUGGAGCUGAAGUCAGUCGAAGAUACCAGCUGGCUGCAACUGUUUAUUAAAAACACAGCACUGUGCAAACACGAAAGUGGACGUAUACGGUGUGACGCCUGCCCGGUGCCGGAAGGUUAAUUGAUGGGGUCAGCG